Molecule: transfer RNA, 68 nt
Rfam family: tRNA
About the family: Transfer RNA (tRNA) molecules are approximately 80 nucleotides in length. Their secondary structure includes four short double-helical elements and three loops (D, anti-codon, and T loops).
UGCUUGGUGGCUGAGUUGUAAAGGCGGUAGACUGUAGAUCUAUUAACGGAAUUAAAUUUCCCCAACAA